UGACUCUCCUCCCCAGACCCCUCCUGCCUGCAGCCAGCUGGCCAUGCACUGAACCCUGAGCCACAAUCAACCUCUCUUCCCUUUAGUUGUGUCAGGUGCUGUGUCCCUGUGACUCAGCCCAGGGCCCUGCAUAUCUGUGCAGGCCAGGAGGUUUGCGUUGGUGACUGCAGCGUCUCACUGCACUCAGAACAGGAAGUGUCCGUGCACCUAAGACAGACAGAAAGCACAGCACACUGGAAGGAACCUGUGAUGUCUGGUGACCACAGAGCUGACCAGGCACUUGAGCUCUCUGGUGCUGCCCCAGAAUGGAAGAUGGGCAUUGGGCCACACGCCACGUGCCUGGGAGAAGACUCAGACUUGGAAUUCACAUCUGGAGUUUGGAUUCUACACAGCCUGAGGACAGCAGGGCUGAGCAUCCACACUGGAACCUCUGAAACCGUGAGCCAAGGUGAAGUCACAGCAACAGAGAGUUGCGGAGUCUGAACAGCUCUCCAGGCCAUGGUGCAUGUGUGAGGCCUAGACGUUCCCUCACAGCAAGGGACCUGAGUCUGCACUGUAGCAACCCCUCCUGGAGCCCACAGCCCAGACACCUUCAGAGCAGCAUUGUGAGCCUGGCCUGGAGCUCGUAGCCCCUUCCGGAGUUUCUGCCUGGUCCUCACAGGAUCCCAGGAUGUCUCAGCCCUGAUACUAUUUGGUCUUGGGGAGUUGCUGUAUUCUCUGUAAUCUUAUUGAUAUCAGGAAUCACAAUGGAGUCCAUCUGAACCCUGGACAUGUGAGAGAAGAGAGUGUCUGUGGGCAAGAUUGUUAUUUUUCCUCUGAGAAAUGGAUAGCUGCCGGGCAUCCGAGGGACAGGCAUUCUAAAAAUAUGAAAUAAAAUCCCGUUUCUUUUCUCCAAGAACAGGGAGGGAAACUGAAAUCCAGGACUUUUAAAAAUUUCAUUCAUUUUGACAAAGUGCAUGUCUGCCAUCACUGAUCGUGAGGCAAGAAGCAAAUCCACAUGGGGAUGUUUUCUUUCCCUUUUCCUUUUCUUUCCUUUUGGGGGAGGGUACAGUGGAUUGACCCCAGAGCCUGUGCCCUGCACUACAGCCCCAGCCUCCCUGUCAUUUCCACUUCUUUCAUCUUUUGAGAGAGGCUUUCACUGGGAUGGAACUUGUGAUCCUCCUGCUUCAGCUCCCAAAGUGCUGGAAUUACACAGGUGUGCACCACACCUCGCUGAGAUAUUUUCAGAUGCAGUGGAUUCUGCCAGGUGCAGCUUAUUUUCAGAAAGUGCACAGCUCCUAAGAGUGUGCACUUUUUUUUUGUUUUUACCUUUUUGCAGCAAUAAAAUGAGAAGAAAAUUCUAAUUCUUGAACCACACCAACACACAUAUUUUUUUUUUUUUUGUACUAGGGAUCGAACUUGGGACCUUGAGCUUGCGAGGCAGGCGGCAG
Heterocephalus glaber (naked mole-rat) is the source of this 1430-nucleotide non-coding RNA. The record is from RefSeq and is a predicted model, not a curated record. Lineage: Eukaryota; Metazoa; Chordata; Mammalia; Rodentia; Bathyergidae.